AGCAAAUUUUAUGGUCAAGCUACUAAGGGCACAUGGUGGAUGCCUAGGCGCGUAAAGGCGAUGAAGGACGUGGUAAGCUGCGAUAAGCUCGGGCGAGGUGCAAACAACCCGUGACCCCGAGAUUUCCGAAUGGGGGAACCCGGCUGGUUAUAACCAGUCACUCCAGACUGAAUACAUAGGUCUGGAAGAGCAAACCCGGGGAAGUGAACCAUCUCAGUACCCGGAGGAAGAGAAAGCAACUGCGAUUGCGCUAGUAGCGGCGAGCGAACGCGCAUCAGCCUAAACCUUCGAAGUGUCAAGCCUGCUGGCGUUGCUUCGGGGGGGUCGUGGGAUCUGUUUUGGAAUGGCGGCAGCCGUUCCGGGGAGUUACAAAGUCAACGCGUAGCGGAAGAAUUCUGGAAAGUUUCGCCAUAGAGCAUAAUAGCUGCGUACGCGAAACGCGAUUGACCUUCCUUCGAAUAGACACCCGAGUAAGGCGGGGUACGAGGAGCCCUGUCUGAAUUUGGGAGGACCAUCUCCUAAGGCUAAAUACUCAUACGCGACCGAUAGUGAACCAGUACCGUGAGGGAAAGGUGAAAAGCACCCUUUAAAAGGGAGUGAAAUAGUACCUGAAACCGUGUGCUUACAAGCAGUGGGAGGGUAAUGACGGGGAGCAAUCCCCGGCCUGACCGCGUGCCUUUUGCAUAAUGAGCCGGCUAGUGAAUCUCGUUGGCAAGGUUAAGUCUUAGUGAGACGGAGCCGCAGCGAAAGCGAGUCUGAACAGGGCGUUCAGUCAGCGGGAUUCGGACGUGAAGCGUGUUGAUCUAUCCUUGGCCAGGUUGAAGCGUGGGUAACACCACGUGGAGGACCGAACCAGUGUUGGUUGAAAACAACUUGGAUGAGCUGAGGAUAGGGGUGAAAGGCUAAUCAAAACACGUGAUAGCUCGUUCUCCCCGAAAUAGCUUUAGGGCUAGCCUCGCGUGAUUACUGCGGGUGGUAGAGCACUGGAAGAGCUAGGGCCCUUCACCGGGUACCAAACUCUACCAAACUCCGAAUGCCCGUAAGUCAAGCGCGGGAGUCAGACGGCGGGGGCUAAGCUUCGUCGUCGAAAGGGAAACAGCCCAGACCCACAGCUAAGGUCCCUAAAUCCAUGCUAAGUGGAAAAGGAGGUGGGGACGCACUGACAGCCAGGAGGUUAGCUUAGAAGCAGCUAUCCUUUAAAGAAAGCGUAAUAGCUCACUGGUCAAGCAGCCCUGCACCGACAAUUCAACGGGGCUUAAGCAUGGUACCGAAGCUUGGGAUUGCGGAGUUUAACUUCGCGAUGGUAGGGGAGCAUUCCACAGGCAGGGAAGACGUACCGAAAGGACGGGCUGAGGUCUUCGGAUCUCGGCGGCGAAAGCCUGGAGCGUGUGGAAAAGACUUUGUCGGCAUAAGUAGCGAUAACGACUGUGGGAAUCAGUCGCGCCGAAAACCUAAGGUUUCCUGCGUUAAGUUCGUCUGCGCAGGGUAAGUCGGUCCCUAAGGCGAGGCCGAGAGGCGUAGUCGAUGGCAAACAGGUUAAAAUUCCUGUACCGCUAACAACCGUUUGAGUGUGGAGUGACGCAUCAGGGUAGCCGAGACCGGUGAUGGAUAUCCGGUUGAACACGUCGAGGCCGUCGGGCAGGCAAAUCCACCCGACAUCAGGCUGAGGCGUGGGACGAAGGCAAUAGCCGCUAAAGUCGGUGACCCCAGAUGCCAGGAAAAACUUCGGGCACGAGGUUGUGAUGCGACCGUACCGCAAACCGACACAGGUAGGUGGGGUGAGAAUCCUAAGGCGCAUGUGAGAAUGCUCGUUCAGGAACUCGGCAAAUUAACCCCGUAACUUCGGGAGAAGGGGUGCCACGGUAGGGUGCAAGCCCGAGGUGGCCGCAGUGACCAGCGCCAGGCGACUGUUUACUAAAAACACAGGUCUCCGCAAAGUCGUGAAGACGACGUAUGGGGGCUGACGCCUGCCCAAUGCUGGAAGGUUAAAAGGAGAGGUCAGCGCAAGCGAAGCCUUGAAUUGAAGCCCCAGUGAAUGGCGGCCGUAACUAUAACGGUCCUAAGGUAGCGAAAUUCCUUGUCGGGUAAGUUCCGACCUGCACGAAUGGCGUAACGAUCUGGCGACUGUCUUAACGAGCAGCACAGCGAAUUUGUAGUUCCGGUGAAGAUGCCGGGUACCCGCGUCUAGACGGAAAGACCCCGUGGA
RNAcentral lists this ribosomal RNA (2206 nucleotides) under Blastocatellia bacterium AA13. RNAcentral's name for it is "bacterial LSU rRNA". It matches the Rfam family "Bacterial large subunit ribosomal RNA", at positions 1 to 2097 of the family's 2925-position model. The record is from RNAcentral. Lineage: Bacteria; Pseudomonadati; Acidobacteriota; Blastocatellia.